UACAGGGGGUGCAAACGUUGCUCGGAAUUAUUGGGCGUAAAGCGCGCGUAGGCGGCUACCUAAGUCGGAUGUGAAAGCCCCUGGCUUAACUGGGGAAGUGCACCCGAAACUGAGUAGCUAGAGUGCAAAAGAGGGUCGCGGAAUUCCCGGUGUAGAGGUGAAAUUCGCAGAUAUCGGGAGGAACACCGGUGGCGAAGGCGGCGACCUGGGUUGACACUGACGCUGAGGCGCGAAAGCGUGGGGAGCAAACAGG
Molecule: ribosomal RNA, 253 nt
Filed under: uncultured bacterium
Lineage: Bacteria
Description: partial 16S ribosomal RNA
Rfam family: Bacterial small subunit ribosomal RNA
Source: RNAcentral